AAUCAACGCUGGCGGCGUGCCUAACACAUGCAAGUCGAACGCGAAAGCCCGCAAGGGUGAGUAGAGUGGCGCACGGGUGAGUAACGCGUGGACAACCUGCCUUCGAGUGGGGAAUAACCUUCCGAAAGGAGGGCUAAUACCGCAUAACACCUCGGGACACAAGUUCUGGGGUUGAAAAGAGCAAUUUGCUCGAAGAGGGGUCCGCGCCUGAUUAGCUAGUUGGUGAGGUAACGGCUCACCAAGGCUUCGAUCAGUAGCCGUCCUGAGAGGGAGCACGGCCACACUGGAACUGAGACACGGUCCAGACUCCUACGGGAGGCAGCAGUGGGGAAUUUUGGCAAUGGGCGAAAGCCUGACCAAGCAACGCCGCGUGGGUGAUGAAGUAUC
This 387-nucleotide ribosomal RNA is filed under the name uncultured bacterium. Its description in RNAcentral is "bacterial SSU rRNA". It matches the Rfam family "Bacterial small subunit ribosomal RNA", at positions 32 to 417 of the family's 1533-position model. The record is from RNAcentral.